UUCGGCUGGGCGAUUCAUACCAGACUGCCGCAGCAAUGUGGAGGGAAGGUGGGGAGUGACGUCAAGUCAGCAUGCCCCGUACGCCCUGGGCUACACACAUACUACAAUGCAUGGUGCAGACGGAUGCAAGACCGCGAGGUGGAGCUAAUCCGCGAAGGCCAUGCUCAGUGCAGAUUGCAGGCUGCAACUCGCCUGCAUGAAGGCGGAAUCGCUAGUAACCGUCGGUCAGCAUUACCGACGGUCGAAUACGUUCCCGGGCCUU
RNAcentral lists this ribosomal RNA (262 nucleotides) under uncultured Deinococcota bacterium. RNAcentral's name for it is "uncultured Thermus/Deinococcus group bacterium partial 16S ribosomal RNA". It matches the Rfam family "Bacterial small subunit ribosomal RNA", at positions 1125 to 1382 of the family's 1533-position model. The record is from RNAcentral. Lineage: Bacteria; Thermotogati; Deinococcota.